GCGCACGUGGCGGAAUUGGUAGACGCGCUGCCUUGAGGGGGCAGUGAAUGCAAGUUCGUGGAAGUUCGAAUCUUCUCGUGCGCA
RNAcentral lists this transfer RNA (84 nucleotides) under Polaribacter aquimarinus. It matches the Rfam family "tRNA". Rfam says of the family: Transfer RNA (tRNA) molecules are approximately 80 nucleotides in length. Their secondary structure includes four short double-helical elements and three loops (D, anti-codon, and T loops). Lineage: Bacteria; Pseudomonadati; Bacteroidota; Flavobacteriia; Flavobacteriales; Flavobacteriaceae. The record is from Rfam by way of RNAcentral.